RNAcentral lists this ribosomal RNA (253 nucleotides) under uncultured bacterium. RNAcentral describes it as "partial 16S ribosomal RNA". It matches the Rfam family "Bacterial small subunit ribosomal RNA", at positions 524 to 776 of the family's 1533-position model. The record is from RNAcentral.
UACGUAGGGGGCAAGCGUUGUCCGGAAUCAUUGGGCGUAAAGAGCGUGUAGGCGGUUCGGUAAGUCAGCUGUGAAAGUCCAGGGCUCAACCCUGGGAUGCCGGUCGAUACUGCCGGACUAGAGUUCGGAAGAGGCGAGUGGAAUUCCCGGUGUAGCGGUGAAAUGCGCAGAUAUCGGGAGGAACACCUAUGGCGAAGGCAGCUCGCUGGGACGUUACUGACGCUGAGGGACGAAAGCUAGGGGAGCGAAUGGG